GACGAACGCUGGCGGCGUGCUUAACACAUGCCAGUCGAGCGGAAAGGCCACUUCGGUGGUACUCGAGCGGCGCACGGGUGAGUAACACGUGAGUAAUCUGCCCCUCACUUUGGGAUAGCCACCGGAAACGGUGAUUAAUACCGGAUAUGACCAUAUGUCGCAUGGCGUGUGGUGGAAAGUUUUUCGGUGAGGGAUGUGCUCGCGGCCUAUCAGCUUGAUGGUGAGGUAAUGGUUCACCAUGGCUUCGACGGGUAGCCGGCCUGAGAGGGUGACCGGUCACACUGGGACUGAGACACGGCGCAGACUCCUACGGGAGGCAGCAGUGGGGAAUAUUGGACAAUGGGCGGAAGCCUGAUCCAGCAACGCCGCGUGAGGGAUGACGGCCUUCGGGUUGUAAACCUCUUUCAGUACCGACGAAGCGCAAGUGACGGUAGGUACAGAAGAAGCACCGGCCAACUACGUG
Molecule: ribosomal RNA, 463 nt
Filed under: uncultured bacterium
Lineage: Bacteria
Description: partial 16S ribosomal RNA
Rfam family: Bacterial small subunit ribosomal RNA
Source: RNAcentral